AUAAUAAAGUGGCCAGAAAGCUGCUGUUGGUGUUUAAUGUGAUAUGAUGUGUAAAGCCUCUUAUCCAUUGCACUCUGGAUGUGCUGACCCCUGUGAUUUCCCCAAAUGUGGGAAACUCAACUGCAUAAUUUGUAGUAGUAGGGGACUGCGUUUUGCUCUCCCCUG
Molecule: small nuclear RNA, 165 nt
Organism: Molossus molossus (Pallas's mastiff bat)
Lineage: Eukaryota; Metazoa; Chordata; Mammalia; Chiroptera; Molossidae
Product: U1 spliceosomal RNA
Exons: 1
Source: RefSeq, a predicted model, not a curated record